ACGUAGGGAGCGAGCGUUGUCCGGAAUUACUGGGCGUAAAGGGCGCGUAGGCGGGGGUUUAAGUCAGGUGUGAAAACCUCGGGCUUAACCUGGAGACUGCAUUUGAAACUGUAUAUCUUGAGGGCAGGAGAGGAAAGUGGAAUUCCUAGUGUAGGGGUGAAAUGCGUAGAUAUUAGGAGGAACACCAGUGGCGAAGGCGCCUUACUGGACUGUACCUGACGCUGAGGCGCGAAAGCGUGGGGAGCGAACAG
This 251-nucleotide ribosomal RNA is filed under the name uncultured prokaryote. RNAcentral's name for it is "partial 16S rRNA". It matches the Rfam family "Bacterial small subunit ribosomal RNA", at positions 525 to 775 of the family's 1533-position model. The record is from RNAcentral.